CCUACGGGAGGCAGCAGUCGAGAAUCAUUCACAAUGGGGGAAACCCUGAUGGUGCGACGCCGCGUGGGGGAAUGAAGGUCUUCGGAUUGUAAACCCCUGUCAUGUGGGAGCAAAUUAAAAAGAUAGUACCACAAGAGGAAGAGACGGCUAACUCUGUGCCAGCAGCCGCGGUAAUACAGAGGUCUCAAGCGUUGUUCGGAAUCACUGGGCGUAAAGCGUGCGUAGGCUGUUUCGUAAGUCGUGUGUGAAAGGCGCGGGCUCAACCCGCGGACUGCACAUGAUACUGCGAGACUAGAGUGAUGGAGGGGGAACCGGAAUGCUCGGUGUAGCAGUGAAAUGCGUAGAUAUCGAGAGGAACACUCGUGGCGAAGGCGGGUUCCUGGACAUUAACUGACGCUGAGGCACGAAGGCCAGGGGAGCGAAAGGGAUUAGAUACCCUUGUAGUC
RNAcentral lists this ribosomal RNA (446 nucleotides) under uncultured bacterium. RNAcentral's name for it is "partial 16S ribosomal RNA". It matches the Rfam family "Bacterial small subunit ribosomal RNA", at positions 338 to 795 of the family's 1533-position model. The record is from RNAcentral.